This 498-nucleotide ribosomal RNA is filed under the name uncultured Streptococcus sp. RNAcentral describes it as "bacterial SSU rRNA". It matches the Rfam family "Bacterial small subunit ribosomal RNA", at positions 28 to 508 of the family's 1533-position model. Lineage: Bacteria; Bacillati; Bacillota; Bacilli; Lactobacillales; Streptococcaceae. The record is from RNAcentral.
GACGAACGCUGGUGGUGUGCCUAAUACAUGCAAGUAGAACGCUGAAGAGAGGAGCUUGCUCUUCUUGGAUGAGUUGCGAACGGGUGAGUAACGCGUAGGUAACCUGCCUUGUAGCGGGGGAUAACUAUUGGAAACGAUAGCUAAUACCGCAUAACAAUGGAUGACACAUGUCAUCUAUUUGAAAGGGGCAAUUGCUCCACUACAAGAUGGACCUGCGUUGUAUUAGCUAGUAGGUGAGGUAACGGCUCACCUAGGCGACGAUACAUAGCCGACCUGAGAGGGUGAUCGGCCACACUGGGACUGAGACACGGCCCAGACUCCUACGGGAGGCAGCAGUAGGGAAUCUUCGGCAAUGGACGGAAGUCUGACCGAGCAACGCCGCGUGAGUGAAGAAGGUUUUCGGAUCGUAAAGCUCUGUUGUAGGAGAAGAACGAGUGUGAGAGUGAAAAGUUCACACUGUGACGGUAUCUUACCAGAAAGGGACGGCUAACUACGUGC